Molecule: ribosomal RNA, 497 nt
Filed under: uncultured bacterium
Lineage: Bacteria
Description: partial 16S ribosomal RNA
Rfam family: Bacterial small subunit ribosomal RNA
Source: RNAcentral
GACGAACGCUGGCGGCGUGCCUAAUACAUGCAAGUUGAGCGAUGAAGAUUGGUGCUUGCACCAAUUUGAAGAGCAGCGAACGGGUGAGUAACGCGUGGGGAAUCUGCCUUUGAGCGGGGGACAACAUUUGGAAACGAAUGCUAAUACCGCAUAAUAACUUUAAACAUAAGUUUUAAGUUUGAAAGAUGCAAUUGCAUCACUCAAAGAUGAUCCCGCGUUGUAUUAGCUAGUUGGUGAGGUAAAGGCUCACCAAGGCGAUGAUACAUAGCCGACCUGAGAGGGUGAUCGGCCACAUUGGGACUGAGACACGGCCCAAACUCCUACGGGAGGCAGCAGGAGGGAAUCUUCGGCAAUGGACGAAAGUCUGACCGAGCAACGCCGCGGGAGUGAAGAAGGUUUUCGGAUCGGAAAACUCUGUUGGUAGAGAAGAACGUUGGUGAGAGUGGAAAGCUCAUCAAGUGACGGUAACUACCCAGAAAGGGACGGCUAACUACGUG